GGGACGCCGGGGGAGGGGCGGAGGCCACAGAACGCCUGACCUGGCUGGCGACCCGCACCCACACAGCGGCUGUGCACCCUCCCGCUCCCGCAGUCGCACACACACACCCACACGAGGGAGGAGGAGGGAGCCUUGGCACGGGAGGAGUUGGCAGUGCACAGCCCCGCGCCGCCGCCGCGGCGGGAGGGGCGCUCCAGCCCCUGGGUCAGCACGCCCCCAGAAGGAGGGGAGAAUGUGCUCUGCGCCCCCCAGUCCCCCAACCCCGCCUAGCCCCUUCACAGCAAAUGUGCUUUUUGCCCUGCGAUUGUGUGAGACCGACCUUAAACUUUCUCCGACCCUAUCUUGGGAUGCUAGGGCUCAGGUCGUGGUGGUUUCGGGAACCUCACGACAAAAUUCCCCAGUUGACUUUUGGGAACUUUAACUCGGGUGGUCCUGUACGGAAAGGUAGUCUAUGGGGUGCGCAGAAUGGAAAAGGGCUUCCACAUCAGUGGUGUUCGAGGACGCUCUCCAACUUUUGAUGUCCCGUUUGCACGGAGAUUUCCCUGGAGAGUUUCAGAAAGGAUUUCUUCCGACAGACGUGACCCCAGAAGGCUGCCGAGGGAGAGUUUAGGACAAGAGGAGUUGUUUUUUACAAGGAUGUCUGCGUGGAAAUCCCUGGACACUCGAUACCCCCGGGGGACCUGCUUUUCCCGCAGCUCCGCAGACGCGGCAGAAGGGCGCGCUGGCCCCGGCGCUGCUGGGACAGAGGUGAGCGGCGGGGUGGACAUUGACCGAUUCGACAACCUUCGGGCUCUAAGGGCUCGGGAAGGGACCCGGCAUUUUACCCUCCAGAUUCCCAAUCUAUUUUUAAAAAUAAUGUUCAAAACAAAUGGGAAAAAUAAGUGA
Molecule: long non-coding RNA, 885 nt
Filed under: Macaca mulatta (Rhesus monkey)
Lineage: Eukaryota; Metazoa; Chordata; Mammalia; Primates; Cercopithecidae
Description: lncRNA (ENSMMUG00000064806.1)
Source: RNAcentral